Molecule: long non-coding RNA, 688 nt
Organism: Amphimedon queenslandica
Lineage: Eukaryota; Metazoa; Porifera; Demospongiae; Haplosclerida; Niphatidae
Exons: 3
Source: RefSeq, a predicted model, not a curated record
UGUGGCUCAUAAAUUUUAAUCAAUAAAAUGGAGGAAAGUGCAACAAAACUGAGAACAAAACAGCAUCUCCUGCCAAAGCCAUGGAGCCUAAGGAACUAAUACCCUGGACCCGCCAUUGUGAUUACUGAGAACAGGUAAAUGUAAAAUUAAUUAAGGAGGAUAUACAUUAUCAUAACUAUAAUUAAAUAAUGAGUGCAUGUUCAUUCAAAAAUUUAUACUCCAAUAAGAUUCAUUAUAGAGGUGAACCUAAUGGAGCUAAAGGGGCUGAGGGUCGGUAAGUCUUAUUAGCUACUGGUUGCCAGACCAGCCUACAGUCAUUGGGUGGUAGCUGGGGAAUGGUCUGGCUAGUGAGACUAGGCCGGGGGGACAUGGAGCCUAAGGAGCUAAUGAGUCUAAUACCCUGGAUCAGCAUUGGGAUGACUGGGAUCAGAUGCUCCUAGCAGCAGUGGCAAUGAUGAAACUAUGCCAGUGCCAACUAAAAGAAGAGAAGGAGGUUUUGAUAUUAAUUAAAAACAGCUAAACAAAAGAUCAAACAAGUUAUGAUUGAGAAUCACACUGAUUUUGCUGGACUCCUCCAAUUUUCUCUGGUCCAUGUUGCUAACAAACUAUUCGAGGUUCAUAUGAUUCCUCCUGAGGUUCAACAGUCACGAACUUAUGAUGCCAUAGCUACUUGUUUUGUAUCUAUGAU